AUACGGAGGAUCCGAACGUUAUCCGGAUUUAUUGGGUUUAAAGGGUGCGCAGGCGGGAUGUUAAGUCGGCGGUGAAAUUUUGCGGCUCAACCGUAAAAGUGCCUUCGAAACUGGCAUCCUUGAGUAUGGAUGAAGUAGGCGGAAUUCGUGGUGUAGCGGUGAAAUGCAUAGAUAUCACGAAGAACCCCGAUUGCGCAGGCAGCUUACUAAACCAUAACUGACGCUCAUGCACGAAGGCGUGGGGAUC
RNAcentral lists this ribosomal RNA (247 nucleotides) under uncultured bacterium. RNAcentral's name for it is "partial 16S ribosomal RNA". It matches the Rfam family "Bacterial small subunit ribosomal RNA", at positions 523 to 769 of the family's 1533-position model. The record is from RNAcentral.